AUGGAACGUCACAGAGUGCUCUUACACGAACCUAGAUGGUAGCGCCCACUACACACCAGGCUCUACGGUGUAGCCUAUUGCUCCCAGGCUACAAACCUGAACAGCAUGUUACUGUACUGAAUACUGCAGGCAAUUGUUACACAACGAGAUUGCAAAUCUACAUUAAUGAGUUUCUAGAGAAGAGUGUGAAGAUCGUGGUUCAUCUAUUCUCUGGCAAAUUUCUGUCAAAUCACCACUGUGCUCCAUAUGUGCUCUUCCUUACAUCAUUUUCCAUCUCAAAGGAAUUUUUUAAAUUCUACAUAGAAGAGUUAACAUCACUCUUUAUAAUAGCUGUGAAAUGCCAUGCUAAUCUUCAAUCACAGUUUUCACUGUCUUGAAAAGUCUUGGAUUUAAAAAGUCAAUUAAAUGAAAGUAAAUAAAUGAUUGAAAACAAAUCUAUCAACUCUACUGGGAAAAAAAAUUAAAAAUAUAUACGUUGCUAUCAGUAAUUACUUUAAAUGUAAAAUGAUUAAAUUCUUUAAUCAAAACAUAGGUAUUGGAGGAACAGAUUUGAAAACAUGAUCCAACUAUUUACUGUCUACAGGGAUUCGUCUUAGAUCCAAAGACACAAAUAAGUUGAAAGUGAAACACAAC
This 633-nucleotide long non-coding RNA is filed under the name Equus caballus (horse). RNAcentral describes it as "lncRNA (ENSECAG00000051696.1)". The record is from RNAcentral. Lineage: Eukaryota; Metazoa; Chordata; Mammalia; Perissodactyla; Equidae.